Molecule: ribosomal RNA, 1495 nt
Filed under: uncultured bacterium
Lineage: Bacteria
Description: bacterial SSU rRNA
Rfam family: Bacterial small subunit ribosomal RNA
Source: RNAcentral
AGAGUUUGAUCAUGGCUCAGAUUGAACGCUGGCGGCAGGCCUAACACAUGCAAGUCGAGCGGAGUAUAUAGCUUGCUAUAUGCUUAGCGGCGGACGGGUGAGUAACGCGUGGGAAUUUGCCUAUGAGAGGGGGAUAGCCCGGGGAAACUCGGAUUAAUACCGCAUGAUACUGAAAAGUCAAAGAUGGCCUCUGCUUGCAAGCUAUCGCUCAUAGAGAAGCCCGCGUAGGAUUAGCUAGUUGGUAGGGUAAAGGCCUACCAAGGCGACGAUCCUUAGCUGGUCUUAGAGGAUGAUCAGCCACACUGGGACUGAGACACGGCCCAGACUCCUGCGGGAGGCAGCAGUGGGGAAUAUUGGGCAAUGGGGGCAACCCUGACCCAGCCAUGCCGCGUGUGUGAAGAAGGCCUUCGGGUUGUAAAGCACUUUAGUCCAUGAAGAAGGGUGUUGUGUGAAUAAUGCAGCAUUUUGACAUUAGUGGAAGAAUAAGCACCGGCUAACUCCGUGCCAGCAGCCGCGGUAAUACGGAGGGUGCGAGCGUUAAUCGGAAUUACUGGGCGUAAAGCGCACGUAGGUGGUGAUUUAAGCGAGAUGUGAAAGACCUGGGCUUAACCUAGGAAUGGCAUUUCGAACUGGGUCACUAGAGUAUGAUAGAGGGUAGCAGAAUUUCUGGUGUAGCGGUGAAAUGCGUAGAGAUCAGAAGGAAUAUCAGUGGCGAAGGCGGCUACCUGGAUUAAUACUGACACUGAGGAGCGAAAGCGUGGGGAGCAAACAGGAUUAGAUACCCUGGUAGUCCACGCUGUAAACGAUGAAUACUAGCCGUUGGUCGAUUAAGAUUAGUGGCGCAGCUAACGCGAUAAGUAUUCCGCCUGGGGAGUACGGCCGCAAGGUUAAAACUCAAAUGAAUUGACGGGGCCCGCACAAGCGGUGGAGCAUGUGGUUUAAUUCGACGCAACGCGAAGAACCUUACCUACCCUUGACAUCCCACGAAUCUUUUAGAGAUAAGAGAGUGCCUUCGGGAACGUGGAGACAGGUGCUGCAUGGCUGUCGUCAGCUCGUGUUGUGAAAUGUUGGGUUAAGUCCCGUAACGAGCGCAACCCUUGUCCUUAGUUGCUAACAUUUAGUUGAGAACUCUAAGGAGACCGCCGGUGACAAGCCGGAGGAAGGUGGGGACGACGUCAAGUCAUCAUGGCCCUUAUGGGUAGGGCUACACACGUGCUACAAUGGUUGGUACAGAGGGAAGCGAAGCCGCGAGGUGAAGCAAAUCUCACAAAGCCAAUCGUAGUCCGGAUUGCAGUCUGCAACUCGACUGCAUGAAGUCGGAAUCGCUAGUAAUCGCAAAUCAGAAUGUUGCGGUGAAUACGUUCCCGGGCCUUGUACACACCGCCCGUCACACCAUGGGAGUGGGUUGCACCAGAAGUAGCUAGAUUAACCUUAGGGGGGUCGGUUACCACGGUGUGAUUCAUGACUGGGGUGAAGUCGUAACAAGGUAACCGUA